UACGGAGGGUGCAAGCGUUGCUCGGAAUUAUUGGGCGUAAAGGGUAGGUAGGUGGUCUCGUUUGUCUGGGGUGAAAGCCUUGAGCUUAACUCAAGAAGUGCCUCAGAAACGGCGAGACUAGAGUCCUAGAGAGGGUCGUGGAAUUCCUGGUGUAGCGGUGAAAUGCGCAGAUAUCAGGAGGAACACCGGUGGCGAAGGCGGUUCUCUGGGCAUUACCUGACGCUGAGGAGCGAAAGUGUGGGGAGCGAACAGG
This 253-nucleotide ribosomal RNA is filed under the name uncultured bacterium. Its description in RNAcentral is "partial 16S ribosomal RNA". It matches the Rfam family "Bacterial small subunit ribosomal RNA", at positions 524 to 776 of the family's 1533-position model. The record is from RNAcentral.